CCUACGGGCGGCAGCAGUGAGGAAUAUUGGUCAAUGGACGAGAGUCUGAACCAGCCAAGUAGCGUGAAGGAUGACUGCCCUAUUGGUUGUAACCUUCUUUUAUAAAGGAAUAAAACGAGGCACGUGUGCCUUUUUGCAUGUACUUUAUGAAUAAGGAUCGGCUAACUCCGUGCCAGCAGCCGCGGUAAUACGGAGGAUCCGAUCGUUAUCCGGAUUUAUUGUGUUUAAAGGGAUCGUGGAUGGGAUGUUAAGUCAGUUGUGAAAGUUUGUGGCUCAACCGUAAAAUUGCAAUUGAUACUGGCAGUCUUGAGUACAGUUGAGGUAGGCGGAAUUCGUGGUGUAGCGGUGAAAUGCUUAGAUAUCACGAAGAACCCCGAUUGCGAAGGCAGCUUACUAAACUGUGACUGACAUUGAUGCUCGAAAGUGUGGGUAUCAAACAGGAUUAGAUACCCGAGUAGUC
RNAcentral lists this ribosomal RNA (460 nucleotides) under uncultured bacterium. Its description in RNAcentral is "partial 16S ribosomal RNA". It matches the Rfam family "Bacterial small subunit ribosomal RNA", at positions 338 to 795 of the family's 1533-position model. The record is from RNAcentral.